Molecule: ribosomal RNA, 439 nt
Filed under: uncultured bacterium
Lineage: Bacteria
Description: partial 16S ribosomal RNA
Rfam family: Bacterial small subunit ribosomal RNA
Source: RNAcentral
CCUACGGGGGGCAGCAGUAGGGAAUUUUGCGCAAUGGGGGAAACCCUGACGCAGCAACACCGCGUGAAUGUUAAGCCCUUCGGGGUGUAAAGUUCUGUCAAUAGGGACGAAUUUUGACUGUACCUAUAAAGGAAGCACCGGCUAACUCCGUGCCAGCAGCCGCGGUAAUACGGAGGAUGCGAGCGUUAUCCGGAUUUAUUGGGUUUAAAGGGUGCGCAGGCGGAGGCACACGUCAGCGGUAAAAUCGCGGGGCUCAACCCCGCUCCGCCGUUGAAACUGUGUCCCUUGAGUGCGCGAAGGGUAGGCGGAAUGCGUGGUGUAGCGGUGAAAUGCAUAGAUAUCACGCAGAACUCCGAUCGCGAAGGCAGCCUACCGGCGCGCAACUGACGCUCAUGCACGAAAGCGUGGGUAUCGAACAGGAUUAGAUACCCUUGUAGUC